RNAcentral lists this small RNA (600 nucleotides) under Pongo abelii (Sumatran orangutan). Its description in RNAcentral is "retained intron". Lineage: Eukaryota; Metazoa; Chordata; Mammalia; Primates; Hominidae. The record is from RNAcentral.
AGAAGUUAGGGGUUGCAGCGGCGCUGGCUUUAGGUGAACGACGUGAAAAUUACUUUUCCCACUAAAAUACACCAAGUAUAUGCCCAGCCUUCAUGAAAGUGAACAGAGAAACAAAGCGCCUUUAUGUGGGUGGCCUUAGCCAGGACAUUUCUGAGGCAGACCUACAAAAUCAGUUCAGCAGAUUUGGAGAAGUUUCGGAUGUGGAGAUCAUCACACGGAAAGAUGACCAAGGAAACCCACAGAAAGUUUUUGCAUAUAUCAACAUCAAUGUAGCAGAAGCGGACCUGAAAAAAUGUAAGAUCAUCAUAUAUUUUCUAUACUAUUUGCCAUUUUAUAUCACUCUGUAACUUGGAAUAACUUUGGUUCUAAAUCUAAACCUCCACAGCCAUUUUUUACGUUAUCCAGAGGGACAGCAGUGAUCAAGAGAAUUCCAGUAUCGUAUAACUCAGCAGGUUUAGGUCCAUUCCAUUUGGCAUCAGCGGACAUGGUAGCACUUUGCUGGUGGGUUUACUUAAAACUGCUAUUCUCAAAUAUUUUGGACAAGGGACCAGACUUUCAUAGAAACUGCCUGUUACGUAUAUCCCACUGAAUAUUAUGCCA